Molecule: ribosomal RNA, 221 nt
Filed under: Clostridioides difficile
Lineage: Bacteria; Bacillati; Bacillota; Clostridia; Peptostreptococcales; Peptostreptococcaceae
Description: partial 16S ribosomal RNA
Rfam family: Bacterial small subunit ribosomal RNA
Source: RNAcentral
GAAGCUGGAGUUACUAGUAAUCGCAGAUCAGAAUGCUGCGGUGAAUGCGUUCCCGGGUCUUGUACACACCGCCCGUCACACCACGGGAGUUGGAGACGCCCGAAGCCGAUUAUCUAACCUUUUGGAAGAAGUCGUCGAAGGUGGAAUCAAUAACUGGGGUGAAGUCGUAACAAGGUAGCCGUAUCGGAAGGUGCGGCUGGAUCACCUCCUUUCUAAGGAGA